This is a non-coding RNA of Delphinapterus leucas (beluga whale), 428 nucleotides long. NCBI's taxonomy places the organism in Eukaryota, Metazoa, Chordata, Mammalia, Artiodactyla, Monodontidae. The record is from RefSeq and is a predicted model, not a curated record.
AAUGCAGCUGUUUCUCAUAAACUACAAUGAAUGAGCCUAUAAUAAGGCUUCACCCUUUAUAACCUGCAGUCUCUUGCCUGUCUGUCGUCAGAGAGGUAACCCCUUCCCGUGAGGUUACUUCUGAGGUGCCAAGAGUUGCAAGGAGAGCGCAGAUGUGCCAGCGGAGGGGAGCUUUUUGAGCUUCCAGGCAUCUAUUUUGCUGUGGAACUGAAAUACAACCCAAAGAACUGCAAGGAAGAGACAUAUCAAGACUCCUUUCUCCAAAGAAAUUUGGAUUGAAAAUCAGAACACAGUGAAAAUGACUUAGAGAAAAUAAUGCCACAGAUAUAUCUAAAAUGUGAAUGAAGCUGGAAGCAGCAGAGGACCACACACCAUGAAAUGUAAACAGAGGAGAAAAAAGCUAGAUGCCAGAGAGGAAGAGAAGAACC